AAAUUUUGACCAUUGGUGACCUCUCAAGCAAAGGGAGGGUUUGUCAAAUAUAAGUGUGCCUGUUGGCAUACUUUUCAAAGCCCCAUUUCGUCAUUGUUUUCUUUGGAAUGAUGCUAUUUUAGCCGCAGUCACAGAAGGAACCAAUAUCCAGAAAGGAGAGGAGGCCGAUGACAUAAUGACAGCAGCCAAGCUACGGAAUCUGGCCAAGAAUAUUGACAGGAGAGCGCAGAAUCGCAGCAUGAGGCGUAUCGAAGGCAACCUGCGUUACGACAUGACGGGCAUGUCAGACGAGCUAGAGACACAGUCUAGCUUCAUGAGGGUCAACUCUGCCGGAGACAUGGACGGGGAAUUGCUGGAGGAGUAGAUACAAAGUUAAAGGCUCAUUUUGAUCUCAACACUACCUAAAUCUCACACCCAUUUUAGACUAGGGUUUCUUAACUGGGCCAAAUUCAAUUACCGUGGGCUGUUCAAAUCACUUUGGGAAUUGGAAACCAACCCAACAGCCAAACCUUACACUGUUUUUGCAACAAAGUGAUUACACACAUCGACAUUCACCUCGCCCAAGAAAACCACCCUGCAGGCAAAAUUUCGGACCCAUCACACCCACUUCCUCAUCAUGUGUAAAAAAAUCAUCCCUCCUCAUCUUAACAGAGCCGCCACCAGUAGCUGUUCCUCUUUACUUCUAUUAUCUAUCAAAGGAGGCAGAUGUGAGCUUGUUACAGGCUUCAAAGAUACCGCAACCUUCAACUUUGUCUUUCGAUGUUUGACGGAGAAAAUGGGAGGAGGAAAUUAUUUAGGAGCAGCUAGCUGUAUAAUAAAAAUAAUAAGGUGUGUUUAUAUAGCCCAAUUUCAUUUGAAACAUAUCCACCAGCAUUUAUUUGUUUUCAAGGUGCUACAUCACAUGUUGGGCCAAUGAAACCAUAGAGAAAGUAUGAUGAAACGUACCAAAUACCAUCUCAGCUCCCUGGGGAGUAUACAGCUCGAUGCUGCCAUAUCGGUGCAAAGCAGCUAAAAUCAACCACAAUAACCAUUUCUACCCACACAGGUACCCAAUUUACUCCUGGGGUGGGGAGAAGCAAUGAGUGAUAAAGUGCCUUGCCCAAGGGCACACACGCCAUAACCCCAGGCUGGACUUGAACCCACAACCUGCAGAAUUACCGGCAGACCAUGAAUUCAGUGCUCCAGACCAUGAGGCCACGACACCCCACUUUAUCCACUACAUCUAAUAACCAAAACACUGCCCCAGUAUCCCACUUAGAUAUUCGAUAAUGGAAACAGGUUCUGGCGAAGGUUUGUUGUUCUAAUGACCUACAAAUCACACAAAUAAAGCACUGCGUUCCGCACGUAUGCUUACUUUUAAUAAGGCAUACAUGCGGAACUAGGUUAAUCAGACUACAUGGAAGGUCAAAUAAGUAUUUGGUGUUUUGCAACCAAAACAAUUUCAAAAGCAGUGAUGGGGUUGGCCAUUAUCAUACAAUAGAGCCUUUUUUGAGGUGAUACACAUGAGAAAACCAUUUUGUGUAUUCGUUGUUACACGAUUCGAAUUAAAAAACACUCCUCAAAGAUACCCUGUAAUAAUAUAGGUUUUCCCGGCUAUUUUAAAACGUUUAUCAUUCGAAUUCACCAUUUCUAGUAUUCAAAUUUGUCCAGCAACAUCGA
This 1659-nucleotide long non-coding RNA is filed under the name Patiria miniata (bat star). RNAcentral's name for it is "uncharacterized LOC119739712". Lineage: Eukaryota; Metazoa; Echinodermata; Asteroidea; Valvatida; Asterinidae. The record is from RNAcentral.